Molecule: long non-coding RNA, 821 nt
Organism: Lutra lutra (Eurasian river otter)
Lineage: Eukaryota; Metazoa; Chordata; Mammalia; Carnivora; Mustelidae
Exons: 2
Source: RefSeq, a predicted model, not a curated record
CUGGCAACAGCGUUGCCGCUGGGAGUCCUCUGACCACAGGGCUCUGCUCCCUCACUUUACCUGCCGGCCCAGGGACAUACACCUUCGGCACCCCGAGCCUCUGUGUAAGAAGUAUGGCUGCCCUGAAGCCAUUGUACCAGAGAGAUGGACAGACCACGUACUGGAAACUGCAGCACUGGAGAAACAGAAAGGGAUGUCUGAGGAGCCCAGCUGUUGAGUCUUCUCAGCCUAGGCACCAAGUCAUAUGGAAGAAGAAACUUUUGCGAUGACUCCCAUCCCGGCUAUUCUCUGAGUACAAAUGAAUGAGAGACCCCAAAAAAGAACCACCCGGCUGAGCCUUAUCAUCCCCCACAACUGUGAAAUAUCAUAAUAUUAAAUUGCAAUCAUCCUUUACACCACUAAAUCUGGGUUGGUUUGUUACACAGCAGUCGAUAACAGUUACAGACCUCUUGAGUGUAGCUGAGAUGGAGAGCAAGCCAGAGGAGCCGUGGGGAAUGGCCGCCACCCAUGUGGACCUCACUGUCACACUCUCUGCCACCUUGCUGAAGGGCAGGUCACUCCCCAGGCCCUGACUGGGGAAGGCCAGCCUUGGAUUCUUCAAAUGUAAAUGUCAUCAAAAUGCUGAACUCCCAUAAUGAAUACAAAGCGGCCUUGCUAACCACAUACUCCGCCGUGGGAGAAAUUCCCACGCCACUGGAUCACGUGCUUAAAAUUCUAAUUCAGGCAGAAAUGCUAGGUCUAGAGAUGAAGUUUUUUUCCCCUCCCCUAUGGAAUCCAUUUUAUCUUUCCCUCCCUUGAAUAUAAGAUCCCUUUGCUAGUUA